AUGGUUUGUUAAUGAGUGUCCCGAAAACCUUGAGUUGAAGUCAAGGUUGACUGAAGUCACGCACUGGAGGCAUUAAAACAUCAUGGCAAGUGUCAAGGACCAGACUGACGCUGCUCUUUGAAGCAGGCAGUGCUGACUGAUUGGGGCAAAGUCACAAGGAGACAUAACCUAUUGCUACGUUGCACAUAACAUAGCGCACAGAGACACCAGACACCCGCCCCAAAUUCCAGUUCAGAGAGGCAGUAUUUCCAGUGGUGGCAUGUGGAGCUUUAAAAAGGAAAUGACUGAGGACAUCAGGGGGAAAAAAUGCACCUUUUCAGAUAACAGACAGUGAAGAAUAAAGACAUUUCCAUAGCAUCUAUUCACCGUUUGUAAGACAGAUAAAUGGGUGUUUUUUUUAAGAAAAAAAAAAAAAAAAACCCUAUUGUGACAUUAUAAAGUUUUGUGGUUUUUAUUUAGUUUUCGGUGACAUCCUGCUCCUUGCUUGUGUGGAGAGAUACAUACUUUGUCCUCUUGUGCGGAGCUGAGAUAGCUCCUGUAUUUGUCCGUACAUGAUUUUUGUUUUAUGUUCUUUUCAAGCUGUGAAACACAACACACGCAUUGUGCAAUUUUUCUUCCAUCAGAUAAGUUAAAGGAUUUUAGGCUCACAGAAAUCCUUUUGAAAGCAGCAUGAUUAUCUCAAACAUGUCUCUCAUAAACUGGAAACUGAAACUGGAGUGAUUUUCCUGUGAUUCAGAUUUAGUCAUC
Molecule: long non-coding RNA, 747 nt
Organism: Oreochromis aureus
Lineage: Eukaryota; Metazoa; Chordata; Actinopteri; Cichliformes; Cichlidae
Exons: 3
Source: RefSeq, a predicted model, not a curated record